Regulatory RNA element from Enterococcus phoeniculicola ATCC BAA-412, 65 nucleotides. It matches the Rfam family "pemK RNA". The record is from Rfam. Lineage: Bacteria; Bacillati; Bacillota; Bacilli; Lactobacillales; Enterococcaceae.
AUAAUGGUACUUCUAAUAUUAAAAUAGCUUGCCGUGAAAGUCGGGAAGAGGUGAAAAUCCUAUGA